Molecule: non-coding RNA, 110 nt
Organism: Fomitopsis serialis
Lineage: Eukaryota; Fungi; Basidiomycota; Agaricomycetes; Polyporales; Fomitopsidaceae
Source: the annotation of a RefSeq genome assembly
GACACUAUGGCCGAGUGGUUAAGGCGACAGAUUCGAAUUAGUUGGAAGUGCAGGAUUCGAACAGUAUCUGUUUCCCGUCGGGAGCGCAGGUUCAAAUCCUGCUGGUGUCG